UUUAUGGAGAGUUUGAUCCUGGCUCAGGAUGAACGCUGGCGGCGUGCCUAAUACAUGCAAGUCGAGCGAACGGACGAGAAGCUUGCUUCUCUGAUGUUAGCGGCGGACGGGUGAGUAACACGUGGAUAACCUACCUAUAAGACUGGGAUAACUUCGGGAAACCGGAGCUAAUACCGGAUAAUAUUUUGAACCGCAUGGUUCAAAAGUGAAAGACGGUCUUGCUGUCACUUAUAGAUGGAUCCGCGCUGCAUUAGCUAGUUGGUAAGGUAACGGCUUACCAAGGCAACGAUGCAUAGCCGACCUGAGA
Molecule: ribosomal RNA, 307 nt
Filed under: Staphylococcus aureus
Lineage: Bacteria; Bacillati; Bacillota; Bacilli; Caryophanales; Staphylococcaceae
Description: bacterial SSU rRNA
Rfam family: Bacterial small subunit ribosomal RNA
Source: RNAcentral